This 440-nucleotide ribosomal RNA is filed under the name uncultured bacterium. Its description in RNAcentral is "bacterial SSU rRNA". It matches the Rfam family "Bacterial small subunit ribosomal RNA", at positions 338 to 795 of the family's 1533-position model. The record is from RNAcentral.
CCUACGGGGGGCAGCAGUGGGGAAUAUUGCACAAUGGGGGAAACCCUGCUGCAGCAACGCCGCGUGAGCGAUGAAGGCCUUCGGGUCGUAAAGCUCUGUCCUAAGGGAAGAAUACUGACGGUACCUUAGGAGGAAGCACCGGCUAACUACGUGCCAGCAGCCGCGGUAAUACGGAGGGGGCUAGCGUUAUCCGGAAUUACUGGGCGUAAAGGGUGCGUAGGCGGCCCUUCAAGUCAGAGGUGAAAGGCUACGGCUCAACCGUAGUAAGCUUUUGAAACUGGAGGGCUGGAGUGCAGGAGAGGGGAGUGGGAUGGCCAGUGUAGUGGUGAAAUACGUAGAUAUUGGGUGGAACACCAGUUGCGAAGGCCACUCUCUGGACAGUAACUGACGCUGAGGCACGAAAGCGGGGGGAGCGAAGAGGAUUAGAUACCCAAGUAGGC